GAUGAACGCUGGCGGCGUGCUUAACACAUGCAAGUCGAACGGGAUCCAUCAGGCUUUGCUUGGUGGUGAGAGUGGCGAACGGGUGAGUAAUGCGUGACCGACCUGCCCCAUACACCGGAAUAGCUCCUGGAAACGGGUGGUAAUGCCGGAUGCUCCAGUUGAUCGCAUGGUCUUCUGGGAAAGCUUUCGCGGUAUGGGAUGGGGUCGCGUCCUAUCAGCUUGACGGCGGGGUAACGGCCCACCGUGGCUUCGACGGGUAGCCGGCCUGAGAGGGCGACCGGCCACAUUGGGACUGAGAUACGGCCCAGACUCCUACGGGAGGCAGCAGUGGGGAAUAUUGCACAAUGGGCGCAAGCCUGAUGCAGCGACGCCGCGUGAGGGAUGGAGGCCUUCGGGUUGUAAACCUCUUUUAUCGGGGAGCAAGCGUGAGUGAGUUUACCCGUUGAAUAAGCAC
This 454-nucleotide ribosomal RNA is filed under the name uncultured bacterium. Its description in RNAcentral is "bacterial SSU rRNA". It matches the Rfam family "Bacterial small subunit ribosomal RNA", at positions 28 to 493 of the family's 1533-position model. The record is from RNAcentral.